This 758-nucleotide ribosomal RNA is filed under the name uncultured bacterium. RNAcentral's name for it is "bacterial SSU rRNA". It matches the Rfam family "Bacterial small subunit ribosomal RNA", at positions 28 to 776 of the family's 1533-position model. The record is from RNAcentral.
GAUGAACGCUAGCUACAGGCUUAACACAUGCAAGUCGAGGGGCAUCAGGAAGAAAGCUUGCUUUCUUUGCUGGCGACCGGCGCACGGGUGAGUAACACGUAUCCAACCUGCCCUUUACUCGGGGAUAGCCUUUCGAAAGAAAGAUUAAUACCCGAUAGCAUAAUGAUUCCGCAUGGUUUCAUUAUUAAAGGAUUCCGGUAAAGGAUGGGGAUGCGUUCCAUUAGGUUGUUGGUGAGGUAACGGCUCACCAAGCCUUCGAUGGAUAGGGGUUCUGAGAGGAAGGUCCCCCACAUUGGAACUGAGACACGGUCCAAACUCCUACGGGAGGCAGCAGUGAGGAAUAUUGGUCAAUGGGCGCUAGCCUGAACCAGCCAAGUAGCGUGAAGGAUGAAGGCUCUAUGGGUCGUAAACUUCUUUUAUAUAAGAAUAAAGUGCAGUAUGUAUACUGUUUUGUAUGUAUUAUAUGAAUAAGGAUCGGCUAACUCCGUGCCAGCAGCCGCGGUAAUACGGAGGAUCCGAGCGUUAUCCGGAUUUAUUGGGUUUAAAGGGAGCGUAGGUGGACUGGUAAGUCAGUUGUGAAAGUUUGCGGCUCAACCGUAAAAUUGCAGUUGAUACUGUCAGUCUUGAGUACAGUAGAGGUGGGCGGAAUUCGUGGUGUAGCGGUGAAAUGCUUAGAUAUCACGAAGAACUCCGAUUGCGAAGGCAGCUCACUGGACUGCAACUGACACUGAUGCUCGAAAGCGUGGGUAUCAAACAGG